RNAcentral lists this ribosomal RNA (442 nucleotides) under uncultured bacterium. Its description in RNAcentral is "partial 16S ribosomal RNA". It matches the Rfam family "Bacterial small subunit ribosomal RNA", at positions 338 to 795 of the family's 1533-position model. The record is from RNAcentral.
CCUACGGGAGGCAGCAGUGGGGAAUAUUGGGCAAUGGGCGCAAGCCUGAUGCAGCAACGCCGCGUGAAGGAAGAAGGCUUUCGGGUUGUAAACUUCUUUCGUCAGGGAAGAGUAGAUGACGGUACCUGACGAAGAAGCCACGGCUAACUACGUGCCAGCAGCCGCGGUAAUACGUAGGUGGCAAGCGUUGUCCGGAUUUACUGGGUGUAAAGGGCGUGCAGCCGGGAAGACAAGUCAGAUGUGAAAUCCCGCGGCUCAACCGCGGAACUGCAUUUGAAACUGGUUUUCUUGAGUGCCGGAGAGGUAAGCGGAAUUCCUGGUGUAGCGGUGAAAUGCGUAGAGAUAAGGAAGAACACCAGUGGCGAAGGCGGAUGACUGGACGGCGACUGACGGUGAGGCGCGAAAGCGUGGGGAGCAAACAGGAUUAGAUACCCCAGUAGUC